GCCUGGGUGGCUCAGUCGGUUAGGCGUCCGACUUCAGCUCAGGUCCUGACCUCACAGCUCGUGGGUUCAAGCCCCGCCUCGGGCU
RNAcentral lists this transfer RNA (85 nucleotides) under Felis catus (domestic cat). It matches the Rfam family "tRNA". From Rfam's summary of the family: Transfer RNA (tRNA) molecules are approximately 80 nucleotides in length. Lineage: Eukaryota; Metazoa; Chordata; Mammalia; Carnivora; Felidae. The record is from Rfam by way of RNAcentral.